AGAGAGGUGUCCGAGUGGCUGAAGGAGCACGCCUGGAAAGUGUGUAUACCCUUAAAGGUAUCGAGGGUUCGAAUCCCUCUCUCUCUG
RNAcentral lists this transfer RNA (87 nucleotides) under Algoriphagus sp. RNAcentral describes it as "tRNA-Ser". It matches the Rfam family "tRNA". From Rfam's summary of the family: Transfer RNA (tRNA) molecules are approximately 80 nucleotides in length. Their secondary structure includes four short double-helical elements and three loops (D, anti-codon, and T loops). The record is from RNAcentral. Lineage: Bacteria; Pseudomonadati; Bacteroidota; Cytophagia; Cytophagales; Cyclobacteriaceae.